GACGAACCGUGCGAACGUUGUUCGGAAUCACUGGGCUUAAAGGGCGCGUAGGCGGCGACCCAAGUCCGGGGUGAAAGCCCCCGGCUCAACCGGGGAAGUGCCUUGGAUACUGGGUCGCUCGAGGGAGGUAGGGGUCGAGGGAACUUCUGGUGGAGCGGUGAAAUGCGUUGAUAUCAGAAGGAACGCCGGUGGCGAAAGCGCUCGACUGGACCUCUGCUGACGCUGAGGCGCGAAAGCCAGGGGAGCAAACGGG
RNAcentral lists this ribosomal RNA (253 nucleotides) under uncultured bacterium. Its description in RNAcentral is "partial 16S ribosomal RNA". It matches the Rfam family "Bacterial small subunit ribosomal RNA", at positions 524 to 776 of the family's 1533-position model. The record is from RNAcentral.